RNAcentral lists this ribosomal RNA (441 nucleotides) under gamma proteobacterium SCGC AAA487-A20. Its description in RNAcentral is "bacterial SSU rRNA". It matches the Rfam family "Bacterial small subunit ribosomal RNA", at positions 339 to 772 of the family's 1533-position model. The record is from RNAcentral. Lineage: Bacteria; Pseudomonadati; Pseudomonadota; Gammaproteobacteria.
CCCCGGGAUGCACCAGUGGGGAAUAUUGGACAAUGGGCGCAAGCCUGAUCCAGCCAUACCGCGUGGGUGAAGAAGGCCUUCGGGUUGUAAAGCCCUUUUGUUGGGAAAGAAAUCCAGCCGGCUAAUACCUGGUUGGGAUGACGGUACCCAAAGAAUAAGCACCGGCUAACUUCGUGCCAGCAGCCGCGGUAAUACGAAGGGUGCAAGCGUUACUCGGAAUUACUGGGCGUAAAGCGUGCGUAGGUGGUUAUUUAAGUCCGUUGUGAAAGCCCUGGGCUCAACCUGGGAACUGCAGUGGAUACUGGAUGACUAGAAUGUGGUAGAGGGUAGCGGAAUUCCUGGUGUAGCAGUGAAAUGCGUAGAGAUCAGGAGGAACAUCCAUGGCGAAGGCAGCUACCUGGACCAACAUUGACACUGAGGCACGAAAGCGUGGGGAGCAAA